This 3357-nucleotide long non-coding RNA is filed under the name Medicago truncatula (barrel medic). RNAcentral describes it as "long non-coding RNA (MTRU_LNC005014)". Lineage: Eukaryota; Viridiplantae; Streptophyta; Magnoliopsida; Fabales; Fabaceae. The record is from RNAcentral.
UAUAUAUAUAUAUAUAAUAUAUUUAGAAAUAUCAAUAAUAAAUUUCAUCGAGUAAGUAAAUUUUGAUGCAAUAAAGAAUAUCACAUCAUCACUAGAAAUAACAACUAAAUAUGAUAAUUUGAAAUAAAACAUUUUGGCUUAUUAGAGCUUUACAAUAAUCCUCAUAAUAUAGCAGCAGACAUAAUAUUUUCUCAAGAUCGAAUAAAUAAGUCAGACUAAUUUGUUACACUCAACCCUGAUCUCAGAAUUUUGAAGACUUAAAACACAAUUUGAACAUAAACAUGAAUACAACAAACUUUAAAGGAAAAAAAAAAUAGUUGAGUGUAUAAUUCUCCACUUUAUUCUUAUGAAUAAACACCUCAAAAUUGCUACUUAGUAUUGCCGAAAUGCCCUGCAUGUUAUCCAUAUAAGAUAAACACUUAGAAAAUCAAGAGUGAUAUAUGUUUCACAUCACUUAAAGUGUAUAACAAUAUCAAUGUAUAAAAUAAGCACACAAAGAUACAUUCAGAACAAUUGCUCUAGUCAUGGUUUAUAUUCAACUUACGAAGAAUAAAUUUUCCUUACUUUAAUACGUCUUGUCACAAUAAUAGGUUCGCAUAUUCUAUUACAUAAUAAUCAUGUUUCAAUCAUUUUAUUUUUAACCUCAUUGUAUUCCUAUGUAUCAUACUUUCUACUUGACUAAUAGUUUAUCGUUUGCAAAAAAAAAAAAAAAAAUCUUAGUGGUCUAUCACUAGUUUAUAAUCACCAGGUCUUUAUAUAAGAUUAAAAUCAAAGAUACUCACAUGAUAGUUUAAUCAUACAAUAUAACUUAACACACACUUUGAGAGAACUAAUGUAGGCUUAAUUUCAUUACAAUAACAAUAAAAUAUGGAUAUUUUUUAGCACAAUAUUUUCCAUUAUAUUGAAAUUCCUAUUUCAUCUCCUUUAAAUUCACCACAUAAAAUAAAUAUUAUAAUUCACAUAAAUUCAUCACCUAUAUCACACUAGGAAAUCUAAUCAUCAUAUAUUACCUAGGUAAAAUUUAUCAAAUAAUCCUACAAUCCUAAACAUGUUGAAUUUAACUAAACUUUAAAUAUUUAAUAAUUGAUAAUAACCAUGAACAAUUUAUUUAAAAUGUCAAAACCACAAAGCAUGGAUGAAACUAGGAUCAGGGCCAUACCCUUCAUCCAGUACAAUUGGUGUAUUCACUAGGCGAAAUAAUAUCUCUUUUACCUAAAUGAAGAUAGUAAUACCCCUUUUAAUCAAUUUAUCCCUUCUUUUAAAUUCCUAAUGAUUUGGAGAUUUUUUCACAAUAAAGUCUGAUUAAGGAAAAUUUACGUUGUAUUGGUUUCUAUAUGGUUCUCAAGUGUAAUUUUGUUUUCAAGAUUUUUUCACAACUUAUAUUAAUGUUCUGAUGCAUAUCUAUAAAAAAUUUGGUAACCACGACGUAAGAUUGUAAUUAUUGUUGCGAUUAUGAUUUUUUUUCAAUGUUAUCUAGUUUUGCAAAAACACUAAUUUGUUUGACAACAAGAAUAUGUGUUUUAGUCCAUCUUCUAAUUUGGUGUGCUAGAAUACUUUUCUUGUUGUUUAACAUACCAAGUGCUUUUCUUACACUUCUAUGUAUCAAUUUGUAAUUGUUAUGGAAUGUUUAGCUCAAAUUCAUUCACCUAUUGCCCCUUGUAUAAGUAAGUUCUUCGACAUCCUCUUGUGUUUUUUUUUUUUUUUUUUUUUUGCGUUAAGUGUAACAUUGAUGGCAUUGAUAAAGUCUUCACAUGAUCACUUGCUUCUAAAGGAGUUUUUAAACGUAAAAAAGUAUACUUCAAAGCUUUGUUUCCUUGAACUUAAACAUUAGUACUAAUUUUCAAAACGAGCUCCAUGGUGAUAUCAUUUAUGUUCACAUUGCAUCUAAUAAAAUUGGCAUUGUCUUUAUUUGGAGACUGACCAAAAGAUUGUUAAUUUGACUUUCAAAAAUCAAGUCACUGUUUCAUGGACUCAAAGAAACAUGUGGUUGAAUUUUAUUGAUCUAUAAAAGAACAUAAAUUUAUGUUUAGAUAAAAUCUCAUCAAUUGGUUUUUAACAUACAAAUUUAGUGUAGUUGGAUGACAUUCCUUCUAGUAUUUUGGAUCCAUAUACCAGUAAUAGAUUAGGAUUUUUUAAGUUUAUUUUUCUUUUAUGGAUGAUUUGUCAUGGAUUUUCUAUUUCAUGUGCUGUUUAUUUUCUUUACACUCCUUCCCUUUCUCAGGACUUAUCCCAUUCAGUUUUCUUAAGAAAGUAUAUAAUGAGGGCUUUAUGUCUAGAAUAUAAAGGACGGUUUACUGGUGUUGGUUUAAGAAAAUGUAUUGUUAGAUAUAAGGGUUUUAAAGAUAAUCCAGACUUGAUGUUAUUAUAAAAAUAUUGGAAGGACUUGGAUAAAGGGUGUGACAAUAGUCUAAGGUUAUUGAGUAAAUUAAUGUUUGAGAUAUUAUUAAUAGGGAUGUGCAGAAACAUGUGACCCGCCUGAAAACCGAGGAACCCGAUAGUGGAAAAAACAAACUCGGUGGGUUGAAAGGGGAUCAAACGGGUUACAAUAUUCAAUCUCAAACAGUGGUUAACGGAUAGACGCAGGUUUGGAAAAUUUGAUCAAUCGAUAUCCACAACCGACCGAAUACAUGGGUGAUUAUAAAAGCAUGCCUUGUUCAAUCAUAGUUUUUAUAAAAGCAUGCCUAUUUAUCUAAACCUGUAAACCACACCUACUUCUUUUUCUUCAUAUCUACAAAAGCACUGUAUCCAUAGAAUUAAAGCACCCAUUACUGAGUAUAUCUAUGACACGUUUAAUUAGAGUCAAAGUGAAAAUGACAUGUUCAACUUUUCAUUACACUACCAUAUUAAAAAUUAAUACUUAAUUCAUCUUGUUCUUUUAUACAUAUUUGAAGCCAUGUUGAGAUAAAGUUAUCUGAACUUCUUUUUCUCCCUUCACAACCUUUCCUUCUUCGUGAUCUCUCUAUGAAGCACCUCUUCCUUUAUUUUCCAUUCUUAUAAAAAAGGUUGUUGUGCAGAAAGCUUAAACCAAUACUUUCUAUUGAGUUCAUGCUCUCUCUUUCUAUAAGCAUUCUGUUUUUUCUUCUAUAUGAUCUCAGAGAUGAAGAUAAUGCAUCAUCACUUCUCUAUUUUUGUUUUAGUUAAAUCCCGAAUAAACCCACCCGUAGAAAUCCGUGAUCCGCACAGCCCAUAACCCGUCAAAGCCGAAGCUUGAAAUUGUCAUAAUUGGUUUUGAGUUUUGCACUCUAGGUUUGAUUCGGGUGAGCCAUUUUUGACCCAAACCCGACCGAACCCGUACGGUGCUCAACCCUAAUUAUUAAGUUAUAAGAUGGUAUAUGAAAUAAUUGUGCAUAUGAUUUG